UCUGCUAGUGGCUCCAAGGAACAGGCAGC
This 29-nucleotide non-coding RNA is filed under the name Rattus norvegicus (Norway rat). Lineage: Eukaryota; Metazoa; Chordata; Mammalia; Rodentia; Muridae. The record is from RNAcentral.